GACGAACGCUGGCGGCGUGUUUAACACAUGCAAGUCGAACGGAAAGGCCCUGCUUUUGUGGGGUGCUCGAGUGGCGAACGGGUGAGUAACACGUGAGUAACCUGCCCUUGACUUUGGGAUAACUUCAGGAAACUGGGGCUAAUACCGGAUAGGAGCUCCUGCUGCAUGGUGGGGGUUGGAAAGUUUCGGCGGUUGGGGAUGGACUCGCGGCUUAUCAGCUUGUUGGUGGGGUAGUGGCUUACCAAGGCUUUGACGGGUAGCCGGCCUGAGAGGGUGACCGGCCACAUUGGGACUGAGAUACGGCCCAGACUCCUACGGGAGGCGGCAGUGGGGAAUAUUGCACAAUGGGCGGAAGCCUGAUGCAGCAACGCCGCGUGCGGGAUGACGGCCUUCGGGUUGUAAACCGCUUUCGCCUGUGACGAAGCGUGAGUGACGGUAAUGGGUAAAGAAGCACCGGCUAACUACGU
This 467-nucleotide ribosomal RNA is filed under the name uncultured bacterium. Its description in RNAcentral is "partial 16S ribosomal RNA". It matches the Rfam family "Bacterial small subunit ribosomal RNA", at positions 28 to 506 of the family's 1533-position model. The record is from RNAcentral.